CCGACCUGCCAGCCGCCCCACCCGAACCGAACCGAACCAAGCCCGGAUUCCAGCCCGGUCUCACCAGCUCCUCUCCCGUUUGAUUUCCGCCGCCCACCUGAUAACCCGCGGCCGGGCACGCCAGCGAGGCGAAGCCGUGUCCGGUAAGGAAUCGGUUGGUUCCCCCUCCCGCACCGCCUCUGCGCCGGCUACAAAAGGCGCCACAGGCGCGCCCCCUCCACCCCGCGCUCUGCCCUCCUCUCUUCUCCUUUGGAGCUUUCGUUCCGGCCGGGCCUCCGCCCUCGAUCGCCCGAGCCGCCUCCUCGCGCCUCGGCGACUGUUUCCACCCCCUUGUCCAUCAAUUCCCGAUUCGUUUCGAAUCGCGUUUGAUUUGAUUUCACUCGCCGUCGCCGUUGCCUUGCUGUGCUCGCAGGGUAUUCCAAUCCGGCGAGCCCGGGAAGCGAUCGAUCGGGGAUUCAUUCAUUUUGGUUUGCGAGUCUAUCUCAGAGUCGCGUGUCCGCUUCUGUUUGCAACCGUGGAUCCUGUGUUCCUCGUAUUCGUGUCCGCAUCCGCGCGCGUUGGUUGCAGGAUCGUCGAGCCUGGUUUUUGGAAUUGGAGCUCUGAUUGUGGAGCCGGAGGCCGAGGCAAGGUCAGUUUCCCGUGCUCGUUCAGACCGCUUCCUCUGCGUUCAUCCGUGAUUCCAGAUUUCAAAAGUUUGCGAUCUUCUGGUUCCCCGACCGCUGUGGUUUAUUCCGUAUCAUCCGUUGGUACGAGGUGUAUUAAUUCGAGGCCCUCGUGGAGGAUUCUUGUUGUACCGGCUGAUCUCGGUUUUGUUAUGUCUUGUGCUCUCACCCUAGAUGCAGAGGAAUCCAGAGGGCGCGCUAGUUCUUCAGAGGUGGAGGUUUGAUUUCUUUUCAUGGUUAUUCUGAUUGAUGAUUGGUUACGGUUGAGCGGUUAUUCUGAUUGGUUACGGAUCAGCGGUUAUCCUGAUAGGUUCAGAUCUUCUCGUGUGAUGAAGCCUAGGAUUUCUUACCAACCGGAACCAGCGAUCUGCGUUUGGAUAAAUGAUUAAAUCCCUCCCAACUUCAGUUUCCUGGUCUGCACAGUAGUCAACGGCAACAAUUCUGAUCUGAAUUCUUUGCUUCUCCAGAAAUUAUAAAUUGGAUUACACGGCAUAGCGGGAGCAACAUCUGCGUUUGGAUGAUUAUUAUUACCCCCUCUAUUUACUUCCUUCAUCUACACAGUUCAAUCUUAGUCGCUUCUGAUUUAGAUUUGUUGAUGGUUGUCCAGAAAUUGGGAUUAUACGGCUUACUGGGAGCGACUUGUCAUUCUUCCUCACCUGUGUUUGGAUGAUCAUUCUCUCUCUGUUUAUUUCCUUUCCUCCAUGGUUCAAUUAGUCUCCACACAAUUCUGAUUUGGAUUUGUUGCUCGUACUCCAGAAAAUUGGAAUUAUACGGCUUAGCGAGUGGUCCUCUUUUCCCUCGGCAUGGCGGUUCCUUUUCUGUGGCUCAACAGUAUUUCUUACUCAAUAAUAUAAUUAUUAUUAGAACACACCAGACAAGUUUUCUCUGCCUUAGUUUGUCAAUUCUUAGCUCUUGCAGACAUCGUCUUGGAAGGGAUAUAAUUGGAACCGGUGCUGUCUACCUGACCUUCCCAGACAAGACUUUCUUAUAACUUUUACCUCCUCAUUUGAAGCAUGCUUUAGCUGAGCCUCGGCAUGCGUUGCAGGUUUGACAAACGCAAAGUCUAACCUGAUGCGGAGUUGAAUUUGUUUGCAGUUCUUCUAAAUCCAAUCAAUUCAUUAUUACUUAGAUGACCUUUAAGAUCUUCUCACUAGGCAAUAUUUUAAAUUCAGAUUCAUCUGCAAAGGCGCAAGAAUGGAGCUUCAAACUAAUGGCACAUCCUACAACAGAAAGACUCUUCUCCAUUUUUAACUCUUGCCUCUUAUUUUUAUUUCACGUAGCUACUUGUUCAUGCCUUUGAUUUAGGCUUUUUUGCUUCUGCCCCCCUGUGAUUGCAGAUUUAUUUUAGCCCAGAGCGUGUUGGUACUUGGUAGCGAGUCGAAAUCUGUUAAAAUUGGUUGGUUUGCAAUCUACCUCUAUGCGGUUCGAUUUGUUAUAUGUACUCUUAUCCUGUCGGCUGCAGGCCAUAUUUAGGAAGUUUGUGCUUAUGAGCAAAAUCUCUGUACAGUGAGUCAGGUCAGUGUUCUAUCAACGGUUUGUUUGGUUUAGUUCUGUUCCUCCACACAUUGGUUGCAGGAUUGGAUCUGGAAUGUGGAGAUCCCUGUGGUGUUGUAUGUUAAGGGGAUUUGAGCAGGUCAGGUUUGAAUGGCUAUCGCCUGUGUGGUCUCCUGGUUCUCAUCACAUGUUUCUUCAUCAUCAGCUAAUAUGAGGUGGAUUAGAGAGGUCCUGGUGGAUUCUUAUUGUAGCAGCUGAUCGCGUUUUUGGUGUGUGUUUGUGCUCCUUUGCUUGCAGCAGAUGCAGGAGUGUAGUAGUUCUGCACAGAUGAAUCAUAGGGGAGAUUUGGUUUCUGUUCGUCAUUUUGAUUGAUUGGAUAAUGAAGCUUUGGAUCUCUUACCAACCUGGAACUUGUGAUCUGCGUUUGGAUAAUAUAUAUUCCGUCCCAAUUCAAUUUAUUUGGUUUGCACAAUACAACUUAGCCCUUGGUAGUUCUGAUCUGUAUUCGUUUGUGGUUUUCCAGAAAUUGAGGUUAAUUGGUGGAGAUUUGGUUUCUGUUCAUCAUUUUGAUUGGUUGGAUAAUGAAGUUUUGGAACCUAGAACUUGCGAUCAGCGUUUGGAUAAUGAAUUCUGUCCCGAUUCAAUUUAUUUGGUUUGCGCAGUACAAUUUAGUCCUGGCAGUUCUGAUCUGUAUUCGUUUGUGGUUUUCAGAAAUUGGGCUUCGUAAGGUUUAGGAGGAGCAACCUAUCUUCUUGCUGAUCUGCAUUUGGAUGAUUACGAACCCCUCUAUUUAAUUCCUUCUCAAUUCAAUUUUAGUCUCCGACAAUUCUGAUUUGGAUCUGUUGCUGGUUGUCCAGAAAUUGGGAUUAUAUGGCUUAGCGGGAGCGACCUAUCUUCUUGCUGACCUGCACUUGGAUGAUCAUUACUCUCUCUGUUUAAGUUCUUCUCCAUAGCUCAAGUAGUUGCCCGACGAUUCUGAUUUAGAAUUUUUGCUGGUUCUCCAGAAAUUGGAAUUAUAUGGCUUAGCGGGUGGUCCUAUCUUUCCAAGGCAUGGCGGUUCUUUCUGUGGCCCAACAUAUCCGACCUUUUAUCCUCCCUUGAUAAUUGAACUUUCAAAUGUUAGUUUCUUUGCCUUGAUUGGUAAUUCUCAGCUCUUGCAGAUGCUGACUUGGGAGCGAAAUAAUUGGAACCAGUGUUGUCUACCUGACUUUCCAGCCGAGACAGGCUUACUUACCCUUUACCUCAACAUUUGAUGCUUGCUUUAGCUGAGCCUAGUUUUCCUCUUAUAACUUAUAGAAAGGUAUCUCCCUCGUUGCAGGCCAUAGUUGAUGACUCGUCCAACCUGAUGCUGACUUGAAUCCGUUUGCAGUUCUUCUAAAUCUAUUAUUUUCUCAAUUCAUCAGAACUUAGACAGCCUUCAAAAUUAUCUUACCAGACAAUAUUUUGAAUUCAGAAUUAUCUGCCAAGGUUCAACAAUGGAGAUUCAAACUAAUGGAACAUCCUACAAUGAAAAAGAGUGCUCCAGUUUUAACUCACCUCUUAUGCUACUUGUUCAUGUCUUUGAUUUAGGUUUUUCCUUCUGCCCUCCCUUUGGUUGCAGAUUAAGCCCAAACCAUGCUGGUAGUGAGUUGGAAUCUGUUAAAAUCGUUUGGUUUGCGAUCUAUCUCUCUCUCUCUGGAUCGAUUUGUUGUUUGUACUCUUGAUCCCUGGUCUUCUGCGUGUAUCAGUUGCAGGAUAUAUUUAGGAAGUCUGGGCCUAUGUGCAGGAUAUAUUUGGAUAUGUUGGUGGUUCUCCAGAAAUUGGAAUUAUAUGGCGUAGCGGGAGCGACGCAUCUUGCUGCUCUGUGUUUGGAUAAUUAUCACUUCCUCUGUUUUACUCUUUCAUCUCCACUGUUCUGUUUUGGUUUCCCACAAUUCUGAUUUAAACUAUUUCUUGGUGGCUCUCCAGAAAUUGGAAUAAUAUGGCUUAGAAGGCGUCCUAUUUUUCCUCGGCAUGGCGGUUCCUUCUGUGGCUAAAAACUUUCUCAACCUUUUUUACUCUAUAAUUGAACUCUCUAGACAUUAGGUUUUCUUUGCCUUAGUAAUUAUCAGCUCUUGCAGAUACUGACUUGGAAAGGAUAUAACUGCAGUUUGGAACCUGCGUUGUUGUCCUCCAUCAUCCAUACCUGACCCUAGACAGGCUUUACUUGUUCCCACUCAAUCAUCCAUGCUUUAGCUAUUUAUAAGAAGCAUUUCCCCUAACAAUUUUUUUUAUAGAAACGGUGUCUUGCUCACUGCAGGUUGUAGUUGACAAACUCCUGUCCAGCCUGAUGAUGAAUCCGUCUACUGAUCUUCGAAAUCUACAGUGUCGUUUCAAUUCAUUGCAACUUACAUAACCUAUAAAUUAUCUUACUAGACAAUUUUUAAAUACAGAUUCAUAUGCAGCACGAAUAUAUAAGAUGAUCUAGAGCCUACUAAUGGCACAUCCUACAACCGAAAAAGACUCUUACCUUCCUUUUUUUUAAUUUCAUUUAGUUACUUGGCCAUCUCUCUGACAUAGGUUUUUGCCCCUGCCCUUCCUAUGGUUGCAGAUUUUUCUUUAGCCCAGGCCAUGUGGGCAAUGACUAAACUCUUGAUCCCUGUUUUAUUGGUCUUCUGCGUGUGUGGGUUGGCAAUAUAUAAUUUUUAUUAGGAGUUUGGGCCCAAACCUUUGCUCUGUACAUGGAGUCAGGUCAGUGUCUCGUAGACGGUCUGUUUGUUUCAUUUGUUAUCGCCGCCUCUACAAUUUGGCUUGCAGGACUGGAUCUUGAUCUGGUCUGGAAGUAAAGCUCCUUGUGGGUUGUGAACGUAUGGUGGAGGGGACUCGAGGCAGAUUUCACUAUGGUCUGACUUUCCUUGAAGAACUUUUAAGUAUGCUGAUUAUAUUUGGGUUGAUUUGCAUUGUUGGAGGUUUUAUUGCAAGAUUGUAGAGUUGGAUAGUCAGUUAGCGCGGGGACUUGGUGUAGCAAAUGGACUUCCCUGAUGGUUUUGACCUCUGAUUACUGAUCCUGAAGCAUAAUGAUUUGGUCUUUGUGGUAGUUUUCAGUUUGAACUUGCAUUCAGUGGCCUCAUAUCUUUGGUGCAGCUUGGAGUUAGUAGUGUGCACAUCUGAUGAUUCUUUCAACUGUCCUGAAGCAUCUUACUUGGUUUCUGUUGUGCCAUCCUACUGGUUACGGUAUCUUAUUCAACUUGCAUGUGGUUUGGAUGGAAUAUGAUCUUAUCUUUUGCUCGAAUCAAGAAAAUGCUAGAAGUCUCAAACAAGGGUCCAAAAUGGAAAUAUCAGUUCGUACUCAGUUUGUAUAGCAGAUUAUCAAAGUUUGACUUGGCUAUUAAUUACCUGGUUACCAUACUGUUUCAUGAAGUUUGGUUUUGGUAUUUGGCUGCUUGUAUCUUUCAACUUGCAAAUUUGUCACCUAAUAGGAAGUAAAGAUCGCAUGUACAUGAGCUCUGAAUGCAGUAAAAAUGUUAAGCAUAUUAUAUGAAUAUAUGUGAAUUGGUCA
Molecule: long non-coding RNA, 5673 nt
Organism: Triticum aestivum (bread wheat)
Lineage: Eukaryota; Viridiplantae; Streptophyta; Magnoliopsida; Poales; Poaceae
Exons: 2
Source: RefSeq, a predicted model, not a curated record